CCCAUAAUGACAACGUGAAAGAAGUUUGUUUGAAAUCUUUGCAAAUUUAUAAAAAAUAAAAAAAAGGGACAAAAAAAAAUCACAUGAUUAUAUAAGUAAUAUAUAAGAACAGCUCUGAAAAAGUUAAGAGAGCACUGCAAAAUUAUCAGUUUCUCUGGAUUUACUAUUUAUAGGAAUGUGUUUGAGUAAAAUGAACAUUCUAUAAAGUACUGAUAACAUUUCUCCCAAAUUCCAAAUUGGAAAAAUAGAGCAUUUAUUUGCAGAAAAUGACAAUGGUCAAAAUAACAAAAAAGAUGUAGUGUUUUCAGACCUCGAAUAAUGCAAAGAAAACAAGUUCAUAUUCAUUUUUAAACAGCACAAUACUAAUGUUUUGACUUGGGAAGAGUUCAGAAAUCAAUAUUUGGUGGAAUAUCCCUGAUUUUCAAUCACAGCUUUCAUGCGUCUUGGCAUGCUCUCUACCAGUCUUUCACAUUGCUGUUUGGUGACUUUAUGCCACUCUUGGCACAAAAAUUCAAGCAGCUCAGCUUUGAAUUUUUGUUCAAUGGGGUUCAGGUCUGGAGAUCGGGCUGGUCAUGACAGGUUCUUGAUCUGGUGGUCCUCCAUUCACACAUUGAUUGACCUUGCUGUGUGGCAUGGAAUAAAAAAUAAACCUCAGAGUUGGGGAAUAAUAUCAGAGCAGAAGGAAGCAAGUUUUCUUCCAGGAUAACCUUGUAUGUUGCUCGAUUCAUGCUUCCUUCACAAAAACGAAUCUGCCCGAUUCCAGCCUUGCUGAAGCACCCCCAGAUCACACCAGGCUGGAAUCGGGCAGAUAUCAGAGAAACUGAUAAUUUCGUAGUGGUCUCUUUUUUUUUUUUCCCCUUCAACUUUCUCCAGAUGGUUACUCCACAUUAAAUUUUUUUACUUCAAUCCCCAGAACAAAUAUCUAAAUUACUUUUAACUCAGUGAACAUGUUCAUCAUGGAAAUAAUUGUGUUGUGUGAAUUGCAUUUGUAAUGUAUUUUUUAAUAAUAGAUCGGGGCAACAAAAAAAAAAAGAGCUUCUCGUAAUUGACCCUGAUAAUGUUUGAAAACAAUUGAACAUGAAACCAAUGUUAUUUUGUUAAAAGUAGAUUAUCUCAAGCACAAAAAAUUAAUUUAAGCAUAAUGAGUAAAUGAGAUUGAAAUGCAAUUAUUUUCUGUAAUAUAUUCUAAUAACUUUCAUUAAAAAGUUGGACUCUGGAGUCGAAGAAACAAAUAAGUGACUAUCAAUGUGGCUUUAGACGUGGAAAGUGCACCUUGGAUCAGUUAAUCCGACUGGAAACUUAUAUUAGAGAUGGUUUCAUUAGAACAGAACAUGUUAUUGCCGUCUUUUUUGACUUGGAAAAAGCAUAUGAUACAACAUGGAGAUAUGGGAUUUUGAAAGAUCUUUACCACAUGGGUUUUAGAGGACGAUUACCCAUUUUUGUUUCCAAUUUUUUGGCUAGAAGAUAUUUUAAAGUCCAAGUAGGAAACACUUUGUCGGAUAUUCACAAACAAGAAAUUGGAGUUCCUCAGGGAAGCAUUCUUUCUGUCACUCUCUUCAGUAUUAAAAUAAACAGCAUUGAGAGCAUCAUUGGAUCUAAUAUAUUCUGCAGCCUGUAUGUGGACGAUCUCUGCAUCUGCUAUAGAGGGAAGAACAUGAGUACAAUUGAAAGACAACUGCAGUUAUGUAUUCACAAAAUAUAUCAGUGGUCAGUUGAAAAUGGAUUCAAAUUCUCUAAAUCAAAAACAGUCUGUACCCACUUCUGUAUCCAACGAUCCCUUCAUCUUGACCCAGAGCUCUUCAUUAAUAGAGAACUGAUUAGUGUCGUUAAAGAAAUUAAGUUCUUAGGACUUCUUUUUGACAACAAAAUGACUUUCAUUCCCCAUUUGAAAGCACUAAAAAACAGGUGUCUUAAAGCUAUGAAUAUAAUGAAAGUACUGGCAAAAACAAAAUGGGGAGCAGAUUACAUGGUUCUUUUGAGACUCUAUAGAACACUAAUUCGUUCCCGGCUGCACUAUGGAAGCAUAAUUUAUGACUCUGCCAGAGAAACAUAUAAGCAGAUGUUGGACUCAGUACAUCAUCAGGGCUUACGACUCGCCUUGGGAGCAUUUAGAACUUCGCUGAUGCAAAGCUUGUACAUCGAAGCCAAUGAACCUUCACUUCAAAACAGACGAUUGAAGCUCUCACUCCGAUAUGCUAUCAAAAUAAAGGCAAAUAAAACCAACCCCGCUUAUUCUUCAAUCUUCAACCCACAAUUUACUCCUUUGUAUGAGAGCAAACCUAAAAGUAUCAGAUCCUUUGGUAUUCGUAUUAAACCUCAUUUGGAGAACUUGAAUAUAAAUUUGAGCAUUUUAAACCAAAUACAAUUCAAUUCUAUAUCUCCCUGGAAAUUAAAGAAGCCUAAUAUCAAUUUGGACUUGACUCAUCAGAAGAAAGGGGUGACCCAUCCAAAUGUAUAUAGACAGCAAUAUUUGGAUAUAAGAAACCAAUUCCCCUACCAUGUACCUAUAUUCACAGAUGGCUCAAAGAUGGAAAACAGUGUAACGGCAGCAAUGGUGACUGGAAAUCAAUGCUAUGGAAUUCGUAUUCCAAAACAGUGCUCAAUUUUCUCUGCUGAGGCACGUGCUUUACUUUUAGCUCUGGAGCACAUUGAAAAUUCUCUGCAAAAAGUUUUUAUAAUUUUCACUUACUCUAAAUCCUGCCUUCAAUCAAUGGACACUUUAAAAAUUGAUCAUCCUCUAGUGGACUGCAUCUUAACCAAAGUGGAUUAUCUACUAAAUCAGUUCUUCAGCAUUAUUUUUUGCUGGGUUCCAGGACAUGUUGGUCUUUCAGGAAAUGAACAAGCUGAUGCAGCUGCUAAGGAAGCUCUUAAUCAGGAAGUUAACGAAUGUCAAAUCCCUCCCUCAGAUAUCAGACCGAUUAUUAACCGAUACAUUUUAAUUAAGUGGCAAGAAGAGUGGAAUUUGUGCAAGAACAAUAAGUUGUAUGUAAUUCAUCCGGAAAUUUUAAACAGACUUUUUAUCAAUUUUAAAACUAGAUUUGACCAAGUGGUCUACACCAGAUGCCGUAUAGGUCACACAAAUCUGACCCAUGCCUUUUUGCUUAAAGGUGAAGACCCAACCCUAUGUGUGUUCUGUAAUAUUCCCUUAUCUGUCAAACAUAUUUUACUAGAUUGUCCUGGUCUUAACGCAAGUAGAAUGCUCUUAUGAAGUUACCUCGUUAAAAGACUUAAUGAGAUUGUGCCUGAAAAGGUUUUGGAUUUCUUGUCAUAUGCUAAUCUUAAAAAAAAUAUUGUAUAAUAUGACUUGCUAUCUAUAUUUGUUUUGUUUUUAUUGUAUUUAUAUGAUAUCUGUAUUUUUGUAAUUGAAUUCUUGCCAUGAAAAUAGCUUUGAUUGCUGACAUGGCAUUAAACAAAACAUACUACUACUACUACUCAUUAAAAAGUAAUUGAUAAAGGUUUUAUUAAUCCUUAGGUAAUUCUUUGCAGUUAAUACAAAGAAUGCUUAGAAAUAUAAAACUUUGAUUCAUGUGCUUUAAUUUAAUAUUCAUAUGUCAAUGAUAGUAACUAUGGACAUUGUAAAAUUACUUUUUAAUGAAAGUAAUUAUAACGUGUCACAGUUUUUUGCUUUUGCUUUCAAAAAGCUCAUAUAGUAAGUCAUUCUGUGCAAUCUUCUGGGUGUCAUGCACAUCCAGUAAUUCAAUUACCUCAUGCUCUGUCAAAUUGCUUUGUCUUUCAUUGUUUUCUUUACAGUUCUUUCAGUCUGUACUGUGAGAUUAAUUAGAUAUUGGGGUGUAUUAGCUUUGAUCUUGUCUUUGUAAGCAUUUGCUGUUUCCUGACCUCUGCCUCUCAAUCAAUGUGUGUGUCUGGUGUUUAGAUAGAUGCAUUAGAGUGGGCCUUCCUGGUUUCUGGAGCCAAAUCUACUCAGUCUUAAUUGUUCCUUUUAUUAACAUGGAGUUGUUUUUGUUCUCAGCUUGGGUGGAGCCUAUGCAUGAACAACUCCAUUUACUUUGAAUGCAAAUUAUUAUUUUUCUCUGUGGUGACAUGAUAGGAUCAGAGGAUUUCUUAUACCAGUUGCUUAUAUAUAUAUAUAUAUAUAUAUAUAUGUAUAUGUAAUUAUUAGCUUAAUUGACUAGCUUUUUGGCCAGCAGCUUAGAUGCUUGUUAUUUGUCAUGGACAUAUUCUGUCCAAAUUGACUAAAGCCGGCAUCACACUAGCUGAUGUUUUUAGGUGUAAGCUUAAUUUACAUGAUCGCCGGCCAGUAGGUGAAGAUAGUCUGGAAUUCCUGCUAAGUUAACGGUUCCAGUAUUUGUUAAAGCACAUCAAAAUUGCUAAAUAACAAUUGUUUCUGACAAAAUGCAUCAUACGGCAAACAUUUUGGGAGUAAAUACACAAUCACAACCUUUUUGUAUAGGCAAGUGUUACAUACCUCCGAUCUCAGCCAAACAGUCAGCAUCUGUAACACCCUCGGCCAAAAUAUUUGUUUGAAGUCCGCUAGUGUGAUGCUGGCUUAACAGAAUUCUUACAACUGGAAAAAUCCUUCUGGAGAAACAAAGGGUUACUAUUAUUACCUUGCUCAAGGGUACAAUGGUGAUCACCUCAACUAUAGUUUAAACCUAUGACUUUGGUUAACUGCCAAGAUGUUUGCAGAUUAACAGCCAACUAUGCUAAUUAUUAUUUUUAAGGAAUCAUUGGUUUAUCUGUUGGUUGAUAGAUAUGAUUUUUUUUCAAUGGCCAGUACUGGUAACUAUAUCUAGAGAACAGGUUGGUCGAUGACUGAUGUAAUGCCAAAAUAUAUUCCCCAAAAAGUAAAGGUGCACUCAGUAUUUUUUUUUCCUCCAUUUAAAAUGUUUUACUCAAGGAAAAAACUUCAUGACCACAAACAUAAAAUGAAGACUCCAUUCAGAUCAGUGACCUUAUAAAAAAAAAAAAAAAGCUGUUUUAUUCUACAUGGAGAGGCUCCCCUCAUGGGGGCUGCAAUGCUAAAAUCACAUGGCCUGCUGAAUACUACUUGCUUAAUCUCAUCAACCGCCCUAUUUGACUCUUUGAUCACAUAUACAUCUGGGAUUAAGAUGCAUCUUUGGUGAUCCGAUCACAUGUGGUCAGGCAAAAAGACACUGUUUCUUGUAAAUUUUCCGCACCUUUACACAGAUUUGCAGGGAAGGGACUCUGUUUCAUUACGACAUGCAUCAAUCACUAUGUCAUUGUGUUGCUGCAUGACAUUAAAGUGUAACAAAUUUAGAAAAGACUUUGACCCAGAUGCAGCUGAAAUUUAAUCUAAGCACAAAAGCAACAUUUCAAGCAAAAUUGUGUUAUUUUAAUGGUUUACCUGUAUUAACCUGAGUUGCAGAUGUUCAAGCUUUUCAUAAGUGUCCGUGUUGGGGGGCCUGGCAUGCUCGGCAAUUAAAUACGCUGACUACCACACUUGGAGUUGGAAGUUCAAAUCCAGGGCAUGCUGAGUGACUCCAGUCAGGCUUCCUAAGCAACCAAUUGGCCCGGUUGCUAGGGUGGGUAGAGUCCCAUUGGGUUAACCUUCUCGUGGUCUCUAUAAUGUGGAUCUCACAAAAUGUUUUAGAUCCCAUUUACACCUUUAGAGCAAACCACAUGUGAUCAUAUAAAAAAAAAUGACAAAUUGUGACCAAAAAAAUCUUAAUACCAGGUGUAACCGUGUCUUUCACUCAUGCAUUAAAGUAAUCAUGGCUGACUAUGAAUAGUACAUUUGUACAAUGGCAUCUGAAACCAAAAACUAUUGGUUUUGAAUGAUGCUGCAUCCAAGACACAAGGUGUCGGUGUAAGUUAAAGAUGACUCAAACUAAAAAGUUACUGAGUGCACCUUAAAUGAUUAGAACUGACACUGGGCAGAAUGACACCUGAUAAUUGGCCAAGCAGGCUGAUGCCGAUAGUCCCAAAUUACCCUGUCCAACAUAUAAGUUUAUCACUAAUACCUGUAUUCUAGUGAGAUUUUCAUGCCAUGGACCACAGGAAGUUUUCAUUUCUAUCAGUUCACUGUCCUGAAAAGUCUUUAAAGAGCUCAAGAGAAGGGAAAGGCAAAGCAUAAUUUCUUAAUUAUUUAAUCAGUGGUUUCAGUAGAGCUAACUCAUUAACUAAUUGAUUUCGGGGGUUGGGUGUGGCUCGCUAGGUGUUUGUGCGUGUGCUUUUGCUGAUUGCUGUUUAAGAAGCUGCCGUAAAGCUUGGCGUGCCGUAAUUAUUUGGCGUGUAGUCCCCCUUGUUCUUAUGUUGCUAUCCCUCUCCUAGGGCAGUCAGACGCUGAGGCCAGCGGUUCAGUUACAGGUACAGGCCCAGACAAAAUUGCACUAGAAGGACUGGUGGUGCAAAGAGCUGAAUGUAGACCGGCUGUUAGUGAGAACUACAUGAAGCUUAAGAGACUGCAGAUUGAGGAGCUA
Xyrauchen texanus (razorback sucker) is the source of this 6401-nucleotide RNA transcript. It is a transcript of the gene named general transcription factor IIF, polypeptide 2a, with no coding region annotated. Lineage: Eukaryota; Metazoa; Chordata; Actinopteri; Cypriniformes; Catostomidae. The record is from RefSeq and is a predicted model, not a curated record. The transcript is spliced from 3 exons.